AGCAGCCGCGGUAAUUCCAGCUCCAAUAGCGUAUAUUAAAGUUGUUGCAGUUAAAAAGCUCGUAGUUGAAUUUCGGGAUCAAUAUAUCGGUCGUGCCUCCGGUAUGCACUGGUAUUAUUGAUUUCUACCUUCUGACGAAUCAUGAUGUCAUUAAUUUGGUGUCAUGGGGAAUCAGGACUGUUACUUUGAAAAAUUAGAGUGUUUAAAGCAGGCACACGCUUGAAUACAUUAGCAUGGAAUAAUGAAAUAGGACGUUUGACCCUAUUUUGUUGGUUUCUAGGAUCGACGUAAUGAUUAAUAGGGAUAGUUGGGGGCAUUAGUAUUCAAUUGUCAGAGGUGAAAUUCUUGGAUUUAUUGAAGACUAACUACUGCGAAAGCAUUUGCCAAGGAUGUUUUCAUUAAUCAAGAACGAAAGUUAGGGGAUCGAAGACGAUCAGAUACCGUCGUAGUCUUAACCAUAAACUAUGCCGACUAGGGAUCGGAUGAUGUUAAUUUUUAAUGA
RNAcentral lists this ribosomal RNA (502 nucleotides) under uncultured Glomeromycotina. RNAcentral's name for it is "SSU rRNA". It matches the Rfam family "Eukaryotic small subunit ribosomal RNA", at positions 569 to 1074 of the family's 1831-position model. The record is from RNAcentral. Lineage: Eukaryota; Fungi; Glomeromycota.